ACAUGGUAUCCCAGCAACCAAAUGUACAACACAGGAGACAGAUGAAUUUCUCAUUCUCAUAGGCUACCAUUUCUUUUGGCUUAUUACAAAACAACAGGAUGCUGCAGCUUUAUCAAAGUCUACUUAUUUGUCCACUAAAAGUUUAUGGCUAUACGUUUCCAACUAGAACAUCUGAACACCGAUAUAUGGAAUUCUGACAAAGUUAAAACCAGGAAGAGAUCCUAUGAAGGCUGACAUUGAUUUGUACAUCCAUUUUAUAGAACAAGAAAAAUAAUAAGAACAAGAAUAAGAACAGCAACAACAUUUGCAGCCACUGUCUAGACCACAGGAAACCUGGUCAACAACAUAUGGGAUGUCACCAGAUUCAGACUCAGAAGUUUCCAUAAUGCCGUGGCCAACAGCUAGACACAAAAGAGUACUCUAUCUGUGUUCUUGAGUGGAGAUGAUGAAGAUCAGAACUAUACCUGAGUUGUGAUGAACGUGGAAAGUGAUUUGGAGAGUUGCACUUUUCUUGAAACCUGAGCCUGAGAAUUUGCUUAUGGAUUGUCUGUAAUGCCAGGAAAUGGAAUAGAGGACUGGGAAGAGUGAGAGAAGGAAGAGAAGCCAGGAGGAGAGUAUGUUACGAGCUGUGAAUAAUUGGGACUUGAUUCCACUGAGCACCUUUGAAGUAUCUGAGAAUCUGACUGCAGAAUUGUGAACCUGAAAAUCACAGAAAAGAGAAUAUUUAUCUAUUGAACCUUCUCUUCAUCUUGCAUUGGUCAAGAGUUGUCCUACGGGAUAUUAAGACACUUGCACUUUCAAGUUUGCAGAAGUAUGGGAACGAAAGCAUCCAAAAAGCCCUGAGGCAGGAAGCAAGCUGAGACAAGGUGUUGGUGAUGAUGGUACACCUGGAUGAAGCUAACUUUAGCAGCAAUAGUUGCUGAAUGAAUUUUUCAUUUAAUCUAAGUUGCCACAUUCAUCAGCAUAAAAUUGUUAAUGAUAUUCUUUUAGAACUUGGAGGGUGGUAGGAGAGAGAUGAGCAGAAAAAAAUAACUAUUGGAUAUGAGCCUUAAUACCUGGGUUUUGACAUAAUCUGUACAACAAAGCUCCAUGAAACAAGUUUACCUAUAUAACAACCUUCACAUGCACCCCCAAAUCUAAAAUAAAAGUUGAAGCAA
Gorilla gorilla gorilla (western lowland gorilla) is the source of this 1157-nucleotide long non-coding RNA. RefSeq lists it as uncharacterized. The transcript has 4 exons. The record is from RefSeq and is a predicted model, not a curated record. Lineage: Eukaryota; Metazoa; Chordata; Mammalia; Primates; Hominidae.